RNAcentral lists this ribosomal RNA (441 nucleotides) under uncultured bacterium. RNAcentral's name for it is "partial 16S ribosomal RNA". It matches the Rfam family "Bacterial small subunit ribosomal RNA", at positions 338 to 795 of the family's 1533-position model. The record is from RNAcentral.
CCUACGGGCGGCAGCAGUGGGGAAUAUUGCACAAUGGGGGAAACUCUGAUGCAGCGAAGUCGCGUGCGUGAAGAAGUAUCUCGGUAUGUAAAGCCCUAUCAGCAGGGAAGAAAAAUGACGCUACCUGACUAAGAAGCACCGGCUAAAUCCGUGCCAGCAGCCGCGGUAAUACGGAUGGUGCGCGCGUUAUCCGGAUUUACUGGGUGUAAAGGGAGCGCAGGCGGGACUCUAAGCCUGAUGUGAAAACCCGCGGCCCAACCGCGGAAGUGCAGUGGGAACUGGCGGGCUGGAGUACCGGAGGGGCUGGCGGAAUUCCUGGUGUAGCGGUGAAAUGCGUAGAUAUUAGGAGGAACACCAGUGGCGAAGGCGAGCUGCUGGACGGAGACUGACGCUGAGGCUCGAAAGCGUGGGGAGCAAACAGGAUUAGAUACCCCAGUAGUC